UAAGUCAGGCUCUAAUCGCCAAAAAGAUAGUUGGUGCAUUAUCUCAGAGAUAGCCGAGAAAGGAGAUAUCUCUCGUCUCAAUCGACAGGCAGACACAGCAGAAACUCCAAUGAGUACCAGAUCUCGACCAGCUCUUCUGUUCCUUAUCUUCUUGCUACAUCCUUGGGACUUUGUCUUUACUCCUCCUUUAAGAACUGUCUCCAGUCCAUCCUACCCCAGACAUCGACUACACACCCAGUUCCGGCGGAAGAAAAGUUCAACUGUAACGAGGUAUUUGUCCUCCGAUUCUGAUUGUCGGGCUUGUUGUUUAUGUAAAAAC
RNAcentral lists this long non-coding RNA (319 nucleotides) under Androctonus crassicauda. The record is from RNAcentral. Lineage: Eukaryota; Metazoa; Arthropoda; Arachnida; Scorpiones; Buthidae.